This 539-nucleotide ribosomal RNA is filed under the name uncultured bacterium. RNAcentral's name for it is "bacterial SSU rRNA". It matches the Rfam family "Bacterial small subunit ribosomal RNA", at positions 355 to 896 of the family's 1533-position model. The record is from RNAcentral.
UGAGGAAUAUUCGGUCAAUGGGCGCAAGCCUGAACCAGCCAAGUAGCGUGCAGGAAGACGGCCCUAUGGGUUGUAAACUGCUUUUAUACGAGAAUAAUUUGAUGCACGUGUGCGUUAUUGCAUGUAUCGUAUGAAUAAGGACCGGCUAAUUCCGUGCCAGCAGCCGCGGUAAUACGGAAGGUCCAGGCGUUAUCCGGAUUUAUUGGGUUUAAAGGGAGUGUAGGCGGUUUGUUAAGCGUGUUGUGAAAUUUAGAUGCUCAACAUUUAACUUGCAGCGCGAACUGUCAGACUUGAGUACACGCAACGUAUGCGGAAUUCAUGGUGUAGCGGUGAAAUGCUUAGAUAUCAUGAAGAACUCCGAUUGCGAAGGCAGCAUACGGGAGUGUAACUGACGCUUAAGCUCGAAGGUGCGGGUAUCGAACAGGAUUAGAUACCCUGGUAGUCCGCACAGUAACGAUGGAUGCCCGCUGUUAGCGCCUGGCGAUAGCGGCUAAGCGAAAGCAUUAAGCAUCCCACCUGGGGAGUACGCCGGCNCGGUG